CCUACGGGAGUCAGCAGUGAGGAAUAUUGGUCAAUGGACGAGAGUCUGAACCAGCCAAGUAGCGUGAAGGAUGACUGCCCUAUGGGUUGUAAACUUCUUUUAUAUGGGAAUAAAACGUUCCACGUGUGGGAUUUUGUAUGUACCAUAUGAAUAAGGAUCGGCUAACUCCGUGCCAGCAGCCGCGGUAAUACGGAGGAUCCGAGCGUUAUCCGGAUUUAUUGGGUUUAAAGGGAGCGUAGGUGGAUUGUUAAGUCAGUUGUGAAAGUUUGCGGCUCAACCGUAAAAUUGCAGUUGAAACUGGCAGUCUUGAGUACAGUAGAGGUGGGCGGAAUUCGUGGUGUAGCGGUGAAAUGCUUAGAUAUCACGAAGAACUCCGAUUGCGAAGGCAGUUCACUGGACUGCAACUGACACUGAGGCUCGAAAGUGUGGGUAUCAAACAGGAUUAGAGACCCGAGUAGUC
This 460-nucleotide ribosomal RNA is filed under the name uncultured bacterium. Its description in RNAcentral is "partial 16S ribosomal RNA". It matches the Rfam family "Bacterial small subunit ribosomal RNA", at positions 338 to 795 of the family's 1533-position model. The record is from RNAcentral.